This is a long non-coding RNA of Populus nigra (black poplar), 745 nucleotides long. RefSeq lists it as uncharacterized. Lineage: Eukaryota; Viridiplantae; Streptophyta; Magnoliopsida; Malpighiales; Salicaceae. The record is from RefSeq and is a predicted model, not a curated record. The transcript has 2 exons.
UUCAAGCUCCCUUCUAGUUCUCUCUGAUAUUGUUGGGCUGUUGACGCUUAUUGUUCGAAGAAAGAAAUAAAAAAUAAAGAUGACUGUGAGGGAGAGGGAGAGGAAUAACAAGAAUGGUAGUCAAGAAAUUGGAGGGUGUGAUACAGAAGAUCAGGGAUCAAAAGAUUUGAUCAAGAAGAAGGUAGGUUUUGUGCACAGUCAGGUUCUGAGGAUAAGAGAGGAGGAUUCACAUCUUGGUGAAGAAAGAUUGAGUGCUGCUAAAGAAAUGAUCAGGAAGGCUUUGAUUGGGAAAUUAGAAGAAAGCUUUGGUGUCCCCCCACAUGCUGCUAUGGAGGUUGUGUUUUUUUCCAGGCCUAUCUUGCCUUGCUCGCCUCUUAGUGGCAAAACUACAGUCAAGGCCUUGCACUAAAAAUUGCUCAUAUGUCAAUUAAGAUGAGCUCGAAGUUAAAGAGAUGCAGUUUGUUAAUUAAGAGAGCUGGUGACAAUAAUAUAUAUAUAUAUAUAUAUAUAUAUAUAUAAUGCCGUUCUACUGUUAGCUAGGAUUAGGAUGAAGUAGCCAUUAUGUACAGUCUAAGAAAUUAAUAUUGGUGAGCUCAUUUACAGAAAUCAAAAGCCACUUUCCUAUUAUUGGGCUCUCUUUUUUUAUUAAAAAAAAAGAAGCAAUUAUUGAAACUUAAGCAAUUCUGAUAUUGUAGAUUAUUGGCUUACAUAUGUGAGUUUAUGCAAUUUAUGUGGUGUUUAUGAU